RNAcentral lists this ribosomal RNA (664 nucleotides) under uncultured bacterium. RNAcentral's name for it is "bacterial SSU rRNA". It matches the Rfam family "Bacterial small subunit ribosomal RNA", at positions 8 to 669 of the family's 1533-position model. The record is from RNAcentral.
AGAGUUUGAUCAUGGCUCAGAUUGAACGCUGGCGGCAGGCCUAACACAUGCAAGUCGAGCGGUAGCAGUCCUUCGGGAGCUGACGAGCGGCGGACGGGUGAGGAAUGCUUGGGAAUCUGCCCGAUAGAGGGGGAUAACUACGGGAAACUGUAGCUAAUACCGCGUGACCUCUUAGGAGCAAAGCGGGGGACCUUCGGGCCUCGCGCUAUCGGAUGAGCCCAAGUGGGAUUAGCUAGUUGGUGGGGUAAAGGCUCACCAAGGCGACGAUCUCUAACUGGUCUGAGAGGAUGAUCAGUCACACUGGAACUGAGACACGGUCCAGACUCCUACGGGAGGCAGCAGUGGGGAAUAUUGGACAAUGGGGGCAACCCUGAUCCAGCCAUGCCGCGUGGGUGAAGAAGGCCUUCGGGUUGUAAAGCCCUUUUGGCGGGGAGGAAGGGUGCGAGGUGAAUAAUCUUGCGCUUUGACGUUACCCGCAGAAUAAGCACCGGCAAACUCCGUGCCAGCAGCCGCGGUAAUACGGAGGGUGCGAGCGUUAAUCGGAAUUACUGGGCGUAAAGCGCAUGCAGGCGGUUUGUUAAGUCAGAUGUGAAAGCCCCGGGCUCAACCUGGGAACUGCAUUUGAAACUGGCAAACUGGAGUCCUGUAGAGGGGGGUAGAAUUC